GUUUCUGUAGUGUAGUGGUUAUCACGUUCGCCUAACAGUGCGAAAGGUCCCCGGUUCGAAACCGGGCAGAAACA
Non-coding RNA from Bufo bufo (common toad), 74 nucleotides. The record is from the annotation of a RefSeq genome assembly. Lineage: Eukaryota; Metazoa; Chordata; Amphibia; Anura; Bufonidae.